This 370-nucleotide unclassified non-coding RNA is filed under the name Smallanthus pyramidalis. Its description in RNAcentral is "partial external transcribed spacer". Lineage: Eukaryota; Viridiplantae; Streptophyta; Magnoliopsida; Asterales; Asteraceae. The record is from RNAcentral.
CAGGGCCCCCCGUGCUUGUUCCAGUCGUCGGCAUGAGUGAGGGGUGAUGCUUGAUGGCUUUGAUGCCAUCGGUUGGGACAUGUUUAAGCAUCGGUCUUCCCUCAUGCUCACGAUAGUCUGCAUGAGUGGGUAUGAGUCAAGGAAGUUGCUUGAUGGCUUUGAUGCAUCGGUUGGGACGUGAUUCAGCAGCCUACUUGGUGAAGUGCCUAUGAAUGGGGACUUGAUCCUGCGGCAACAUGAGGGGGCCAAUCCGAGCCGGAAGACAAGGGGGUACAAACACCAGUCAGCCUUUGGCCUGAUUGUUGUGUGUUUUGUGCUUGAAGUCCAAGGCUUGAUGCUAUCCCCCAGUGGAGGGAGGUGGGAACGGAAU